AGCCGGCCGGCCUGUCGCUUGCACCGCCUAUCGGGUGCAGGAGGAAAGUCCGGGCAACACAGAGCAUCCCACUUCCUAACAGAAAGCUGUCCGCGAGGGCGGAGUAACGCAGAAGAAAACAACCGCCUCCCAGCACCGGCCGCAAGACCGGGGGAGGCAAGGGUGAGAAGGCGGGGUAAGAGCCCACCAGCCUUGUGGCGACACAAGGGCUGUGCGUCUUGGGAGUUGUAAGGUCAUGUAAACCGGCGCCAAGAGAGUUGCUCGCUCCAUGUCGGAGGGUAGACCGCUAAAGCCGUAUGGCGACAUACGGACGAGAUAAAUGGCAGGCACCCCACCCCCACGGGCGGGGCACAGAACCCGGCUUACAGGCCGACUGC
This 377-nucleotide RNase P RNA is filed under the name uncultured Bacteroides sp. Its description in RNAcentral is "Bacterial RNase P class A". It matches the Rfam family "Bacterial RNase P class A". From Rfam's summary of the family: Ribonuclease P (RNase P) is a ubiquitous endoribonuclease, found in archaea, bacteria and eukarya as well as chloroplasts and mitochondria. Its best characterised activity is the generation of mature 5'-ends of tRNAs by cleaving the 5'-leader elements of precursor-tRNAs. Cellular RNase Ps are ribonucleoproteins. Lineage: Bacteria; Pseudomonadati; Bacteroidota; Bacteroidia; Bacteroidales; Bacteroidaceae. The record is from RNAcentral.